CUUGGCUUCCCGCAGGAAGAAAUCAAGUGCAAGCCACAGUUGAGUAAAGUAGAUUUAUUUAGAGAGAUACAUACUGUAUAGAAUGUAAGGCAAGAUAAAGGUAAGGAAAGAGGUGUGGCAAUUGGGUGCUCAGGUUAAAGUAAAAGUAGGUACACACUCCAUAGACAGAGUGCAGGCCGUCUCCA
This is a non-coding RNA of Vicugna pacos (alpaca), 185 nucleotides long. The record is from RefSeq and is a predicted model, not a curated record. Lineage: Eukaryota; Metazoa; Chordata; Mammalia; Artiodactyla; Camelidae.